AGUGAACGCUGGCGGUAGGCCUAACACAUGCCAGUCGAACGGCAGCACAGUAAGAGCUUGCUCUUACGGGUGGCGAGUGGCGGACGGGUGAGGAAUACAUCGGAAUCUACUUUUUCGUGGGGGAUAACGUAGGGAAACUUACGCUAAUACCGCAUACGACCUACGGGUGAAAGCAGGGGAUCUUCGGACCUUGCGCGAUUGAAUGAGCCGAUGUCGGAUUAGCUAGUUGGCGGGGUAAAGGCCCACCAAGGCGACGAUCCGUAGCUGGUCUGAGAGGAUGAUCAGCCACACUGGAACUGAGACACGGUCCAGACUCCUACGGGAGGCAGCAGUGGGGAAUAUUGGACAAUGGGCGCAAGCCUGAUCCAGCCAUACCGCGUGGGUGAAGAAGGCCUUCGGGUUGUAAAGCCCUUUUGUUGGAAAGAAAAGCAGCAGGUUAAUACCCCGCUGUUCUGACGGUACCCAAAGAAUAAGCACCGGCUAACUUCGUG
This 491-nucleotide ribosomal RNA is filed under the name uncultured bacterium. RNAcentral's name for it is "partial 16S ribosomal RNA". It matches the Rfam family "Bacterial small subunit ribosomal RNA", at positions 29 to 507 of the family's 1533-position model. The record is from RNAcentral.